This 252-nucleotide ribosomal RNA is filed under the name uncultured bacterium. RNAcentral describes it as "partial 16S ribosomal RNA". It matches the Rfam family "Bacterial small subunit ribosomal RNA", at positions 524 to 776 of the family's 1533-position model. The record is from RNAcentral.
UACGUAGGGGGCUAGCGUUAUCCGGAAUUACUGGGCGUAAAGGGUGCGUAGGUGGUUUCUUAAGUCAGAGGUGAAAGGCUACGGCUCAACCGUAGUAAGCCUUUGAAACUGGGGAACUUGAGUGCAGGAGAGGAGAGUGGAAUUCCUAGUGUAGCGGUGAAAUGCGUAGAUAUUAGGAGGAACACCAGUUGCGAAGGCGGCUCUCUGGACUGUAACUGACACUGAGGCACGAAAGCGUAGGGAGCAAACAGG